RNAcentral lists this non-coding RNA (23 nucleotides) under Cricetulus griseus (Chinese hamster). The record is from RNAcentral. Lineage: Eukaryota; Metazoa; Chordata; Mammalia; Rodentia; Cricetidae.
AGGGGCCGGAGAGAUGGCUCAGU